AUACGUAGGGGGCGAGCGUUGUCCGGAAUUACUGGGCGUAAAGGGUGCGUAGGUGGCACUUUAAGCUGGAUGUGAAAUCCCCGUGCUUAACAUGGGAGCUGCAUCCAAUACUGGAGAGCUAGAGUGCAGGAGAGGUAAGCGGAAUUCUUAGUGUAGCGGUGAAAUGCGUAGAUAUUAGGAGGAACACCAGUGGCGAAGGCGGCUUACUGGACUGUAACUGACACUGAGGCACGAAAGCGUGGGGAGCAAACAGGAUUAGAUACCCUGGUAGUCCACGCUGUAAACGAGGAAUACUAGGUGUAGGGGGUAUCGACUCCCUCUGUGCCGCAGUUAACACAAUAAGUAUUCCGCCUGGGGAGUACGGCCGCAAGGUUGAAACUCAAAUGAAUUGGCGGGG
Molecule: ribosomal RNA, 397 nt
Filed under: uncultured bacterium
Lineage: Bacteria
Description: partial 16S ribosomal RNA
Rfam family: Bacterial small subunit ribosomal RNA
Source: RNAcentral